AUUGAACGCUGGCGGCGGGCCUAAUACAUGCAAGUCGAACGGAAACAGGAAGAACUUGCCUCUUUGGCGUACGAGGGGGGGACGGGGGGGAAAUGUCGGGAAACUUGCUGUAUGAAGGGGGUAACUUACGGGAACCGGAACUAAUUACGGCUAAUUUUCUCAAGCCCAAGGAGGGGGACUUUCGGGCCUCUUGCCAUCGGAUUUUCCCAGAUGGGAUUAGCUAGUAGGUGGGGUAACGGCUCACCUAGGCGACGAUCCCUAGCUGUUCUGAGAGGAUGACCAGCCACACUGGAACUGAGACACGGUCCAGACUCCUACGGGAGGCAGCAGUGGGGAAUAUUGCACAAUGGGCGCAAGCCUGAUGCAGCUAUGCCGCGUGUAUGAAGAAGGCCUUCGGGUUGUAAAGUACUUUCAGCGGGGAGGAAGGAAGUAAAGUUAAUACCUUUGCUCAUUGACGUUACCCGCAGAAGAAGCACCGGCUAACUCCGUG
This 490-nucleotide ribosomal RNA is filed under the name uncultured bacterium. RNAcentral's name for it is "partial 16S ribosomal RNA". It matches the Rfam family "Bacterial small subunit ribosomal RNA", at positions 30 to 507 of the family's 1533-position model. The record is from RNAcentral.